This 495-nucleotide ribosomal RNA is filed under the name uncultured bacterium. Its description in RNAcentral is "partial 16S ribosomal RNA". It matches the Rfam family "Bacterial small subunit ribosomal RNA", at positions 28 to 507 of the family's 1533-position model. The record is from RNAcentral.
GACGAACGCUGGCGGCGUGCCUAAUACAUGCAAGUAGAACGCUGAAGGAGGAGCUUGCUCUUCUGGAUGAGUUGCGAACGGGUGAGUAACGCGUAGGUAACCUGCCUGGUAGCGGGGGAUAACUAUUGGAAACGAUAGCUAAUACCGCAUAAGAGUAGAUGUUGCAUGACAUUUACUUAAAAGGUGCAAUUGCAUCACUACCAGAUGGACCUGCGUUGUAUUAGCUAGUUGGUGGGGUAACGGCUUACCAAGGCGACGAUACAUAGCCGACCUGAGAGGGUGAGCGGCAACACUGGGACUGAGACACGGCCCAGACUCCUACGGGAGGCAGCAGUAGGGAAUCGUCGGCAAGGGACGGAAGUCUGACCGAGAAACGCCGCGUGAGUGAAGAAGGUUUUCGGAUCGUAAAGCUCUGUUGUAAGAGAAGAACGAGUGUGAGAGUGGAAAGUUCACACUGUGACGGUAUCUUACCAGAAAGGGACGGCUAACUACGUG